RNAcentral lists this small RNA (461 nucleotides) under Pongo abelii (Sumatran orangutan). Its description in RNAcentral is "retained intron". Lineage: Eukaryota; Metazoa; Chordata; Mammalia; Primates; Hominidae. The record is from RNAcentral.
AGGUGAGAUCCAGGACCCUGCGCCGGGGUGGCGGUGUUGGGCGGGCUGAGGCCGCGUGUCCCGGGUUGCAGGUCCCCGCGCGUUGUGUCCGCCCCGGCCUGCGGCGGGGACGCCUGAGCUGGGCUGACCAUGCCCUGCCGGCCCGCAGAAAAGCAGGCCGGAAGCCGCCUGUCUCCAGCCCUCUCUCUGCUCGGGGGUCCAGGGCCAGAGGGGGCGGCGCUGGUCGUUGGGACUCGGCCCAGCCGCCGCGGCCAGCAAGUGACCAACGCCCGAGUCCUUCCCGGUGAGAUCAGGCCUCCCACGCGUCACGCCUGGGAGAACGCCAGCCGGCGGGGAGGUCGUGCCGGGAUAGCAGACUUUAGUUGUUGUCGUUGUUCCGUGGACUUUUUAGCAGCACAGGGGACCUUAUCGAGUCAGGUUUUCUCAGGCUGCUGCCCCAUUGGAAGAUUACUCCCCAGGCU